AACGAACGCUGGCGGCAUGCCUAACACAUGCAAGUCGAACGAGACCUUCGGGUCUAGUGGCGCACGGGUGCGUAACGCGUGGGAACCUGCCCUUAGGUUCGGAAUAACUCUCCGACAGGGGUGCUAAUACCGGAUAAUGUCUUCGGACCAAAGAUUUAUCGCCUUUGGAUGGGCCCGCGUUGGAUUAGCUAGUUGGUAGGGUAAAAGCCUACCAAGGCGACGAUCCAUAGCUGGUCUGAGAGGAUGAUCAGCCACACUGGGACUGAGACACGGCCCAGACUCCUACGGGAGGCAGCAGUGGGGAAUAUUGGAAAAUGGGCGAAAGCCUGAUGCAGCAAUGCCGCGUGAGUGAUGAAGGCCUUAGGGUUGUAAAGCUCUUUUACCCGGGAUGAUAAUGACAGUACCGGGAGAAUAAGCUCCGGCUAACUCCGUG
Molecule: ribosomal RNA, 433 nt
Filed under: uncultured bacterium
Lineage: Bacteria
Description: partial 16S ribosomal RNA
Rfam family: Bacterial small subunit ribosomal RNA
Source: RNAcentral